Oxyura jamaicensis (ruddy duck) is the source of this 1945-nucleotide long non-coding RNA. RefSeq lists it as uncharacterized. Lineage: Eukaryota; Metazoa; Chordata; Aves; Anseriformes; Anatidae. The transcript is spliced from 2 exons. The record is from RefSeq and is a predicted model, not a curated record.
GAAAGAGAGGAGGCAAGGCAACUGGUUAAAAAAAUAAACUACGUUAAAAAACAAAAAGCCCAGUAAGCUGAAUGAGGUGCGGGAUCGUCCCAGUGCAAGCACCUGCCUCCAACGAUUCCCCCCAACAAGCCCAGCUGAGAGGCAGCCAGCGGGGCAGGAUCUGUCCUGGCAAAGAGCUGCUGCCGGAGGCAGAGGGAGGCCACACCCUGUGUCACCAGCCCUGGGAAGAGCCAUGGGGUUCCUGGAAAACAUCCCCUUGCCACAGCGCCCAACUGCGCGGGGCACAGCAUUGCUAUGGGAGAAGGAAAUGAAUAGCUCCGCCAGUGACAAAGGAGACACCAUAAAACAAAAACCCACCACUCGGUUUGAAAUCGGACACUGCAUGCAUCAGUGUUGCAUUUUGUCCAGGGACUGUAUCAUAUUAAUAUUUUAAUUGUCCUUUCCUGCUUCCAAGAUUACAAUUCUCAGUGUUCCUAAUCUGAAGUUUUUCUACACGGUGCUUAAGGGAGCUUGCAGUACAUGUUAGCACUGGAUCAGGACAAUGCUUCCUUUACUGGAAGUGCAGCUUCUGGAUGUGUUUUCUGAGGUGGCUGCCACUGUCGCUACUGUGGUCAGCCUCAAAAAGUACAGGGAACGACUCCACCAGCAGCAAUUUUAUACAGCCUAUAUGUACAUGUAAUAAUAUCACAGCUUAAAUGCUGGGAAAUUUUGUCUGUUCUUAAGGGACUAUCCCAGUCUGUAGCCAGCCAUGGUGGUUUUCAGUGUGUUCUGGGCUGGGAACCAAAGUUCAGCCCUUUGUAAUUUGUCUUGCCUUGAGCUGAAAAUACCUUCAUACUUUUGCCCCUUUCUCCUAAGAAGUUCCUCAGGUCUUCACUCUUCACAUCCUGGCCUUUACAAAACCAAGCUGCUUCAAAGUACAUAGUUAAAAUAUCUGCCUCCCAAAAUUAGUUUACUAAUGCUGCUAUUAUUUUUCUCCUAUCACCUCUCAUCCCUUGUGCCCUUAUCCUUCAAUUCACCUCAGUAUUAUAGGCACAAAAACAAUUCAAAAAAAUCAUUAAGAUUAUGCAACAAAGGAGUCACAAGUUAGGAAAUAGCAGAUUGGUUAUGUGACUCUGCUUCAAUCCCCUUGCAUUUAUGCUUCAUGGCAGUCUUACCUGAUGCAUGCCCAGUGUUUUAUUGUUUUAGCUUUGCUUUAUUUUUGCGAGGCCCCUCCUUUGUUUAGGACACAGGAUGGACUUACUCUAGGGAUGUGCCAGAUUUUUGCAGUACAAGAUGCUGGGACAAUUCGCUGCGGAGGCACAUAGGAAACCUUGAGGAAACAGAUCCAAUUCCUGUUUCUGUUCCAGACAGGAUGUGUAUACUGCAGCUGCAUCUUUUGCGCAUGAGUUCAUGGGCGUGAGCUAAUUUCACACUGCCUAACUUGGGUGUUGAUAACAGCAUAGCAUGGAUCUCUGGGCUGGCUGAAAAAACACGGGGGUGAAGAACCUGAACAUGUUGUUAGCGGGGCUGAGCUACUGGCUUGGAGACCACUUCAAGUUGCCGUUGCCUCUGAAGAGUCUUGCACAAUGCAUCUAACUCUAGGAAGAGCCAAACGUUCCCAUUUGCAUCAGAAGUCCACAGGAUAUGGAGAGCUCUAAGGAGAAGACCCAUUGCUGACAGAUGAUUCCCCUGCAUUAAGGCUGUGUGUGUGUAAUAAAUAAAAAGAGAUGCAUCAGAAAACACCUCUAUCUGGGAAAAAAAAAAAUGCAAAAUCCCAAAAUCUAACUGCAUUGGUCAAAUAAUGUAAUAAUGUAGUUACUUAAUAGUUCUCUCACUUCAGUUUAUUUUGGCAACUGCAACUAUCUAAAGCCAGCAACAGAAUAAAAGCUGGUGUUGUCUAACUAAAGUCAAGGAUUCAAAUGCCAAGUUGAACAAUGAAUGUGGUUAAAAUAAAUAAAUAAGUGCA